CCCGUCAGUCUCUCUCUUUUUUUCCCAAUUCAAUUUCUGGAAACCCUAACAAAAACCGGCGUCUCCCUUUCCCGUCACCAUCGUCGGCCACCGCCGUUUCCAGCCGGCGCCGCGACUGGACAGCCGUCUACCUCGCUGCCUCGGUGUCAUCGGAGCAGAGAAGGGCGUCGCCCCUUUCGGGAAACCGCCGUUCACAUCACCCGUUUUCCCUUCCUCCAUUCAUCUCCCUUUCUCUCCUGAGGACCCGUCGCCGCCACCGUGGGGAUUCGGCCAUCGAGCUUGCCUUGGAGCUGUCAUCCGUCGUUAUCCGGGGUGCAGGUGCCGGUAGCGGCUCCACCGCCUCUCACCCGCAACAGAAAAGGAGCCCUUGUUUGGUUGUGUAACUGAAAGCUGCCGGGCUGUUGCUUUGUGCCAGGCAAGGAGAUCUCUAGUUUGCUUAUACAUUGGCAGAUCUCCUGCAAUAAUGCAGUGCUUGUGUUGCUGAGACUCACGGCCGUUGGCAGGUGGAAAGGCUGCCUUGUGUGGUCCCGUGGCAGCCUUUACCUAGGCUGGAGUGUGCAGGAGGUUGCAGGGGUUGUUGGAGCUGGAGUGCAGAGUUGCUGCAGUUGUGCUGCAGCUUUCCUCUCCUUUUUUCUGGCUCGUGGCAGCCCGUGGUACUGGCUGGGAGAGCAGGCUGCUGUAUUUCCCCCUUUUGGGCAAGUUCUUGAUCCUUCAACUAAGGGACAAGGGGCUGACCUCGUCUAGGUGCCCUUCCCAUCGAUUCGGCCCUACGGGCCGUCGGAAUCUGGGCCGAAGCCUCGUUAGGAAAAAGAACCCGAAGCUAGUUGUGAUCCGUUGAAAAGAGAUGGGGUUUCUACUUGUAAUUCUCUCUUUUCUUUAACAUGUAAUAGUUAAUUGGUGUAUUAUUUUUUUCAAGCAUUUGUAAAUUAUUAGCUUGAAAUUCUAUGUACUGUAUUUCUUUUAUUCAAGAAAUAAACGAAUACUCCUCCA
Molecule: long non-coding RNA, 990 nt
Organism: Salvia splendens (bonfire salvia)
Lineage: Eukaryota; Viridiplantae; Streptophyta; Magnoliopsida; Lamiales; Lamiaceae
Exons: 3
Source: RefSeq, a predicted model, not a curated record